This 941-nucleotide ribosomal RNA is filed under the name Priestia megaterium. RNAcentral's name for it is "bacterial SSU rRNA". It matches the Rfam family "Bacterial small subunit ribosomal RNA", at positions 69 to 990 of the family's 1533-position model. Lineage: Bacteria; Bacillati; Bacillota; Bacilli; Caryophanales; Bacillaceae. The record is from RNAcentral.
ACAGAUGGGAGCUUGCUCCCUGAUGUUAGCGGCGGACGGGUGAGUAACACGUGGGUAACCUGCCUGUAAGACUGGGAUAACUCCGGGAAACCGGGGCUAAUACCGGAUGGUUGUUUGAACCGCAUGGUUCAAACAUAAAAGGUGGCUUCGGCUACCACUUACAGAUGGACCCGCGGCGCAUUAGCUAGUUGGUGAGGUAACGGCUCACCAAGGCAACGAUGCGUAGCCGACCUGAGAGGGUGAUCGGCCACACUGGGACUGAGACACGGCCCAGACUCCUACGGGAGGCAGCAGUAGGGAAUCUUCCGCAAUGGACGAAAGUCUGACGGAGCAACGCCGCGUGAGUGAUGAAGGUUUUCGGAUCGUAAAGCUCUGUUGUUAGGGAAGAACAAGUACCGUUCGAAUAGGGCGGUACCUUGACGGUACCUAACCAGAAAGCCACGGCUAACUACGUGCCAGCAGCCGCGGUAAUACGUAGGUGGCAAGCGUUGUCCGGAAUUAUUGGGCGUAAAGGGCUCGCAGGCGGUUUCUUAAGUCUGAUGUGAAAGCCCCCGGCUCAACCGGGGAGGGUCAUUGGAAACUGGGGAACUUGAGUGCAGAAGAGGAGAGUGGAAUUCCACGUGUAGCGGUGAAAUGCGUAGAGAUGUGGAGGAACACCAGUGGCGAAGGCGACUCUCUGGUCUGUAACUGACGCUGAGGAGCGAAAGCGUGGGGAGCGAACAGGAUUAUAUACCCUGGUAGUCCACGCCGUAAACGAUGAGUGCUAAGUGUUAGGGGGGUUUCCGCCCCUUAGUGCUGCAGCUAACGCAUUAAGCACUCCGCCUGGGGAGUACGGUCGCAAGACUGAAACUCAAAGGAAUUGACGGGGGCCCGCACAAGCGGUGGGAGCAUGUGGUUUAAUUCUAAGCAACGCGAAGAACCUUACCAGGUCUUGACAUCCU